CCUACGGGCGGCAGCAGUGGGGAAUAUUGGACAAUGGGCGAAAGCCUGAUCCAGCCAUGCCGCGUGUGUGAAGAAGGCCUUCGGGUUGUAAAGCACUUUCAGUGGGGAAGAAAGCCUUGGGGCUAAUACCCUCGAGGAAGGACAUCACCCACAGAAGAAGCACCGGCUAACUCCGUGCCAGCAGCCGCGGUAAUACGGAGGGUGCGAGCGUUAAUCGGAAUUACUGGGCGUAAAGCGCGCGUAGGCGGUCUGAUAAGCCGGUUGUGAAAGCCCCGGGCUCAACCUGGGAACGGCAUCCGGAGUGAGGGGAGAGGGCGCGGGAGAGGAAGGGAGACCCCGGGGUGGAGGGGAGAUAUGCAGAGAGGGCGGGAAAAACAACAGUGGAGGCGGCCCUCUUGUGGACUGACACUGCCGCUGAGGUGAAAAGGGGUGAGUAACAAACAGGAUUAGACACCCUUAGUC
This 462-nucleotide ribosomal RNA is filed under the name Vreelandella stevensii. Its description in RNAcentral is "partial 16S ribosomal RNA". It matches the Rfam family "Bacterial small subunit ribosomal RNA", at positions 338 to 795 of the family's 1533-position model. The record is from RNAcentral. Lineage: Bacteria; Pseudomonadati; Pseudomonadota; Gammaproteobacteria; Oceanospirillales; Halomonadaceae.